This 1650-nucleotide long non-coding RNA is filed under the name Papio anubis (olive baboon). RNAcentral describes it as "lncRNA (ENSPANG00000045397.1)". Lineage: Eukaryota; Metazoa; Chordata; Mammalia; Primates; Cercopithecidae. The record is from RNAcentral.
CCUUGUCUUAAAAUCUACACUUUAUGUUAAUACAUAUGUUUUACGUUAACUUUUUUGUGGUUAGCCUUUGUGGUUUUUUUGGGGGGGCGUUGUUAUUGUUUUUAACUUUUAUUUAAUUUAUUUAAUUUAUUUUUGAGACUCACUCUCAUAAAUGGAAUGUAGUGGCGCGAUUUUGGCUCACAGCAACCUCUGCCUCCUGGGUUCAAACAAUUGUCAUGCCUCAGCCUCCUGAGUAACUGGGACUAUAGGGGUGGGCCACCACACCUGGCUAAUUUUUGUAUUUUUAGUAGAGACAGGGUUUCACCAUUUUGGCCAAGCCGGUCUUGAACUCCUGGUCGCAAGUGUUCCACCUGCCUCAGCCUUGCAAUGUUCUGGAAUUACAGGUAUGAGCCACCACACCCAGCCUAACCUUUGCUUUAUCCCUUUACUUUUCUUUUUUCUUUUUUUUUGAGACAGAAUCUCCCUCUGUCACCCAAGCUGGAGUGUGUGUGUGUGUGUGUGUGUAUGUGUGUGUGUGUGUUUUGACAGGGUCUUGCUCUGCCACCCAAGCUGGAGUGUGUGUGUGUGUGUGUGUGUGUGUGUGUUUUGACAGGGUCUUGCUCUGCCACCCAAGCUGGAGUGCAGUGGCCGUGAUCUUGGCUCACUACAGCUUGGACCUCCAGGGCUCAAGCAAUCCUUCAACAUCAUCCUGCCAAGUAGCGAGGACCACAGGUGUACACCACCACAUUUAGAAGUCCCUGAGAAAAUUAUCUUGGAAGAAAACUCGCAAGUCCGACUAUUGGUUUUCCAAGGAAGCCAGUCUCACCUGUGAGGAGGGAUCCUGCUCGCCCCAGGCGCCUACUCAGACACCAUGGGAAAUGGGGAGUGGGGCUCAGAGCGGGCAGGCUUUUUUUUUUCCCCUCCGAACUCCUGAGUUCCAGUUAUUUGCCUGACUCAGCCUCCCACAGUGCCGGGAUUACAGGUGUGAGCCACCGCACCUGGCAAAAAGGUGCUGAAUUUUGUCAAAUACUUUUUCUGUAUCAGUUAAGAUGAUUAUAGUUUUUUUUCCCUUCAUUCAGUUAAUGUGGUAUAUAUUGCAUUGACUUUUGUAUGCUGAAUCAUCCUCACAUUCCAGGAACAAAUCCUACUUGGUUAUGGUAUAUAAACCUUUCAAUACUUCGCUAAAUUCAGUUUGCCAGUAUUUUUUUGAGGAAUUUUGCGUGAAUAUUCAUAAGGGAUAUUGCUCAGUAAUUUUCAUUUUCUGUAAUGUCUCUGCCUAGCUUUGGUAUCAGGAUAAUGCUAGCCUCAUAAAAUGAGUCGUAAAUAUUCCCUCCUCUUUGAUUUUGUGGAAGAAUGUAAGAAAGAUUGGUGUUAAUUCUUUAAAUUUGGUAGAAUUCGAUAGUGAAGCCAUCUGGUUCUGGACUUUUCUUUGUUGGGAUAUUACUGAUUACUUCUUGAAUAUUUUUACUAGUUAUAGAUCUAUUCAGAUUUCUGUUUAUGAUUAAAUUUUGGUAGAUUGUGUGCUUUUAGGAGGUUGUCCACUUCAUCUAGGUUAUCCGAUUUGCUGGCAUGUAAUUGUCCAUAGUGUUCUUUAAUAAUCCUUUCUUCUGCCAAAUUGGUAGUAAUGCCUCCACUUAAAUUGCUGAGUUUAGUAAUCUGAAUCUUCUUUUU